Molecule: long non-coding RNA, 2438 nt
Organism: Anolis carolinensis (green anole)
Lineage: Eukaryota; Metazoa; Chordata; Lepidosauria; Squamata; Anolidae
Source: Ensembl
AUAUAAUGUGUGAUUUCAGCUGGGUAAAUGUAGGAGCCCUGGCUACGGCUGCAAAGGGGCAGCUUGCAAAUUAAACACACGGCCACCAUCUGAAAGGUCCAGGUGGUCCGCUCCUGUUUCCGAAUGCAAUCCAGCACAACAGCUCUAAUAAACAGCUCUGUUUAGUUCUCCCUGCGCUGUAUCCAGGGAGGUGAGGCUGGUCUGGGGCUGCUGUGAUGAAAUGCCAGAAGGACAUCUCUCAGAGGCCUCACAAGCUGCUUUUGAGAGCUUUUCCGCUUUGCCGUCUUUGUCUUCCAAAUGGCUUCUUAACACAUUGCCUGGAACAAAUAAAACCAAAAAGAGGAAGUUCAUGCAACCUAAGCAGAACUAAAUUGGAUGAAGAAUCUCUUAAAAGCUCAGACAGCAAGAAAAUGAAAAACCCUCCAUGUUCCUCAGAUGUUUCUUUUGCUUUUGAGACUAGCCUCUUUGACACUGUGAGAAUCUCACUACUUAACCUUUUUCUCAUCCCUCAAGAGCCCAUGAAUCAUCAUAACUUGUUUUCCAGCAGCUAUGAAUCCCUUCGGAACUGCUCAACAUUGCUCCAUGUAUAUAGAGGAUGAUGCUGGAAUUGUUCAGAGUACACCAACCUACUCUCCCUUAAGUUUAUAAUCAGAAACUGUUUCCCUAGGAUAUACACAUGAAAACACACGCACAUACAUACAAACUGCAUUUUACUUGUUGUUUUGAAAUCAUUUCCAAAUAUUAUGUUCAAUGCUUUUGCUAGAAGAGUAAGCCUUCCAACAUGCUUUCUGGACGACUGACAAUAAUACAUUUAUUAAAUUUCCUUCUGUUCUCUAUAAGUACUAGGAAAUAAAGUUCAGGCAAAUACUGUGAAUUCCUAUAUUAUUUUGUAUAUUUCUGCUGUUAUUGUUCUUGCUGCUAGUUUAAUUCGAACAUUCGAAACAUUCAAGCUACAACAGAAGUGACCCUGGCAGUCCAGUUUAUUUUAACAUUGGACUGAACCUUUCCUAUAAAACAUUUAAAGGAGUGAUCUACCGUAUAUACUCGAGUAUAAGCCGAGCCGAAUAUAAGCCAAGGCACCGAAUUUUACCACAAAAAACUGGGAAAACUUAUUGACUCGAGUAUAAGCCGAGGGUGGGAAAUGCAGCAGCUACUGGUAAAUUUCAAAAUAAAAAUAGAUACCAAUAAAAUUACAUUAACUGAGGCAUAAGUGGGGUAAAUGUUUUUUGAAUAUUUACCGUAUUUCAAAGAAAAACAGUAAGCUAACUCUGUAAGUGCAUAAGUAGGGUCAACAAAAACAAUAUGGUAUCAACAAUAACUUUAUAAUAAUCAUUAUCAUCAUCAACAACAAUAACAACAACUUCCUUUGUAUCCUGCUUUAUCUAUCUCCCCAUGGGGACUCAGGCCGGCUUCCAACAUAGUAACAGGCAAACAUUCAAUGCCUAUAUAAACAAUGCAGGGCUAGAUAUAGCUCUAUAAUUAUAUAUACUAAUUUCACAUUUGCAUUUUCCCCCUGAAAAGUUUGCAAAUCCUCUCUCUAUAUAUGUGCAUUUCCCUCCUGCAAUAUUUGCAAGUCCCAUUUAUCUGUGUUUACAUCUAUCUAGACAUCUGUGUAUGUGUCAAAGACAGAACGCCAGCGAGUAAAACAAAACUCAGUUUAUUGAGGUUACAGAACUAAAAACGCCCGUAGGAGACAAAGAACAGGGCAAACACUUGACUUCAGUGUGAUAAGUAACAAAAAACAACUCAGUUUGAGCUUAAACAAUUCAAAGGGAUAAACCGGGUUAAACAGAAGUAUAAUCCGGAUUAAAUCAAAAGUGCUUACUUCAGCCUGGCAAACAAUGCAAACAAAAGAGGAUCAACAGGAGUCAGAAUGUAAACAACAGACUGGUAGCAGAUUCCUCUCUGCUACUCAGAAACAGCAGGAGAAUAAACCAGGCUUGUUUAUUCCUCCCUGCAACAAACGAAAAGCGUGGUCGUAGUCAGGAUUCAAUUUAAGGUUCAGCGGCCAACGAUAUCCAGGUCCAGGCACAGCAGUCAGGGUAACGGCAGUCAGCAGGGUCCCAAUCCGGUCCAGAGGUCAAUAGCCAAACGUAGUCGUCUAGAAAUCCAAAGGUCUCACCGAUAGCCAGCAGAAGGGAUAAUCCGGAAUCGAAGUCAGUCAGUCCAGCGUCAAUCCAGUGCGAGUAGAUAUUGCCGUCAAAAAGACGACGGGGGGUCAAAGCUAUCGAGAUUAAACACAAGUUGCACAGAGAAAAACCCCCGUACAGUUCCUCCCGGCCGUCGAUGCCCAGUGUCCUUGGUAAACUUACGUAUCCCGGUAAAGGAAUCACACCCGUCUUCAGGAAGUCCCCCAACAAAAGCCCAAACCGUCCGUCCCGAUUAACCUUGCCCAACGCAAUUAGACAUGGGGCCCCAAACCCCAAAUUUUAUCCCAG